UACGUAGGGUGCAAGCGUUAAUCGGAAUUACUGGGCGUAAAGCGUGCGCAGGCGGCUGUGCAAGACAGAUGUGAAAUCCCCGGGCUAACCUGGGAAUUGCAUUUGUGACUGCACGGCUAGAGUGUGUCAGAGGGGGGUAGAAUUCCACGUGUAGCAGUGAAAUGCGUAGAUAUGUGGAGGAAUCCGAUGGCGAAGGCCAGCCCCCUGGGAUAACACUGACGCUCUGCACGAAAGCGUGGGGAGCAAACAGG
Molecule: ribosomal RNA, 251 nt
Filed under: uncultured bacterium
Lineage: Bacteria
Description: partial 16S ribosomal RNA
Rfam family: Bacterial small subunit ribosomal RNA
Source: RNAcentral